AUUGAACGCUGGCGGCAUGCCUUACACAUGCAAGUCGAACGGCAGCGGACCUUCGGGUGCCGGCGAGUGGCGAACGGGUGAGUAAAGUAUCGGAACGUACCUUUCAGUGGGGGAUAACUGUCCGAAAGGACAGCUAAUACCGCAUAUUCUGUGAGCAGGAAAGCAGGGGAUCGCAAGACCUCGCGCUGAUUGAGCGGCCGAUAUCAGAUUAGCUAGUUGGUGAGGUAAAGGCUCACCAAGGCGACGAUCUGUAGCGGGUCUGAGAGGAUGAUCCGCCACACUGGAACUGAGACACGGUCCAGACUCCUACGGGAGGCAGCAGUGGGGAAUUUUGGACAAUGGGGGCAACCCUGAUCCAGCCACGCCGCGUGAGUGAAGAAGGCCUC
Molecule: ribosomal RNA, 386 nt
Filed under: uncultured bacterium
Lineage: Bacteria
Description: bacterial SSU rRNA
Rfam family: Bacterial small subunit ribosomal RNA
Source: RNAcentral